Molecule: ribosomal RNA, 207 nt
Filed under: uncultured bacterium
Lineage: Bacteria
Description: partial 16S ribosomal RNA
Rfam family: Bacterial small subunit ribosomal RNA
Source: RNAcentral
UCCGUAGGCGGUGUGGUAAGUCGGGAGUGAAAUCUCUGGGCUUAACCCAGAGGCUGCUUCCGAAACUGCCGUGCUAGAGUGUGAGAGAGGCGAGUGGAAUUACGGGUGUAGCGGUGAAAUGCGUAGAUAUCCGUAGGAACAUCCGAGGCGAAGGCGGCUCGCUGGAUCACAACUGACGCUGAGGGACGAAAGCUAGGGGAGCAAACA